Molecule: small nuclear RNA, 21 nt
Filed under: Arabidopsis thaliana (thale cress)
Lineage: Eukaryota; Viridiplantae; Streptophyta; Magnoliopsida; Brassicales; Brassicaceae
Description: snRNA_16370
Source: RNAcentral
CGAACCGUGAAAGCGUGGCCU